GAAGGAAAAGGAAAUGACUGGG
RNAcentral lists this microRNA (22 nucleotides) under Corchorus olitorius. RNAcentral's name for it is "gga-miR-16". The record is from RNAcentral. Lineage: Eukaryota; Viridiplantae; Streptophyta; Magnoliopsida; Malvales; Malvaceae.